This 74-nucleotide transfer RNA is filed under the name Empedobacter brevis. Its description in RNAcentral is "tRNA-Arg". It matches the Rfam family "tRNA". From Rfam's summary of the family: Transfer RNA (tRNA) molecules are approximately 80 nucleotides in length. The record is from RNAcentral. Lineage: Bacteria; Pseudomonadati; Bacteroidota; Flavobacteriia; Flavobacteriales; Weeksellaceae.
UUCUCAAUAGCUCAGAGGUUAGAGCGGUUACAUCUAGUAAUGCGUCAUCGGUUCGAAUCCGAUUUGAGAAACUA